Molecule: ribosomal RNA, 253 nt
Filed under: uncultured bacterium
Lineage: Bacteria
Description: partial 16S ribosomal RNA
Rfam family: Bacterial small subunit ribosomal RNA
Source: RNAcentral
UACAGAGACUGCAAGCGUUGUUCGGAUUCAUUGGGCGUAAAGGGUCCGCAGGCGGUCUGUUAAGUCGGAUGUGAAAUCUCACAGCCUAACUGUGAUAGGUCAUUCGAAACUGACAGGCUCGAGGAAUGGAGAGGAAACUGGAAUAGCUGGUGUAGCGGUGAAAUGCGUAGAUAUCAGCUAGAACACCGGUGGCGAAGGCGGGUUUCUGGACAUUUCCUGACGCUCAGGGACGAAAGCCAGGGGAGCAAACGGG